Formica exsecta is the source of this 2121-nucleotide long non-coding RNA. RefSeq lists it as uncharacterized. NCBI's taxonomy places the organism in Eukaryota, Metazoa, Arthropoda, Insecta, Hymenoptera, Formicidae. The transcript has 6 exons. The record is from RefSeq and is a predicted model, not a curated record.
UCUCGGAUUGUAUCAUUUUUCACGCGAGGCGGAUCUGCGUAAAAUAAUGCGCGCUUGUAUCAGCGAGAUCUAUAUUCUAUAUUCUAUAGCGGUAAUAAGAAGGAAUACAGAAACAGCCUCGCGUGCUUGCAUUUCCAUACAUGGCGAAUCGAGGAAAGGGCGUUGCAUCUUGGCAUCUUUCGCGGCCAUUUUUCUUGUCGGCUCAUCGAUCCGUAUCCGUGAAUUUAUUGCUUCGACCGUGAGACGAGGACCGGACUUGAUCCGCGGAGCGGACUUGAUUCGCCACGCUUCGGAGAAGCCUCUUCGGGAUAGCGCCUUGUCCGUCAAUUCCUCUCCCCGCAGUGGAAACAUUCGGCGAUACACAUCGAUUAUUUAUCCGCCGUCCCUGCAAGUUCCAACGCGCGCAAUUCCGUCCAUCGUUCCGUUCAAUGAUUCGCUCUGGCAGUAUUACACAGAGAAACUCUCAUUCUGGAUCCGAGGAAUACUAUAGCAAUCCAGAUAAAUAUGAGGGGUCAGCAUUAAAAGAUUAAGUACGUGACACGGUUGCCGUGACGGUUGCGCGUCAGACGGUAUGAAUUAUUGUGAUUAAUCCAGUCUAUGUAAUCAACUCUGCUAGUACAUCUGCUUACAUCGAUCGAUUGCUUCUUGUCGAUGAUACUGAAUAUUCCGAUUAUCGACGCCCAUUCCCGUAAUGAAACGUUUGCGAUCUCACAAUGCGAACAAGUUUGCGCUCUUAUACCGAAAUGUGAGGCGGAGGGAUUCUUCUUGCACGCACUGCAUCAAAUCCACCGACUGAAGCAUGUUUUGUCAUCCUCACGGGUCACCAUGUGGUCUUGUCAAUUGAACGAACAGGAAAACGCAUUGGAUUUUCAAUGCGGUCGUGUGAACGCAAUUUUCUAUGGACGGAUCACUUUCUUCCAGUCUCUUAAGAAGAAGCGUCGAGAUGCGGUGAUAGCGAGCUUCGCAUAGCAGCUGUUGCUGCGUAUGAUAGCGUAAGGUACGGUUUAAUGUACCUCGAAGCCGACGUGAGUGCAUACUUGCCUAUCCGCGUUGCUGUUUACUCCCUUCACGUACGGCAUAUGGCGCACAAUGAUUUUUCCUUGAAGAUAAUUAUGCGAAACCAUCUAUCCGAGUAAAGGACACCACUUGCGCCUCUUUCCUUCCUUCCUUCUCUUGCGCUACUCUGUUUCACGUACGGGGACUCUCGUUACCUACGCACACGAGAAAAUUGCGUCAUGAGCGAGCGAACGUGAAUAUAAUGCGCUCAGAGUAGUUCGAAAAUUGCCCAUCUGCUCUACUAAUAAGAUACUGUUAGUACGGAAUGAAAUAACGUGAACGAUUUCAAAAUACGGUCUAAUCAGGAUAUGGAAAGAUCGCAAUCGACAUGAUUUAUUUCGAGUUGGAUUGUAUGCAUAACGUUAUAUUUUUGCAGUACUUUACACCUAUAGUUAUUAUAUUGUAAUAAUAUUUCGCGGGGCUCAUGUCUUUUUUCUCAUUACGCAGACGCACGUAGGGGGGCGGAUGAAAGGGUACAGACGGGAAGGAAGGACAAGAGAGAGAGAGAAAGAGAGAGAGUCCCGUCUGCUAAUUUGAAUAUUGAGUUGCGGGGGUGUCGGUAACGGGCAGCUGCACAACUCGCAUAAAACAUAAAACGUCUCUAGAACCAUUUGCUCCUCCAGACGGAGGAACGUGGGUGCGUUCGAGUCAAGCCAAAUAUCUACCUACUCCUUUGAGUACCGAAAGAUCUCCUGCGAACGACGCCCCGAAGACAAAACGCUCGCGUGUCCCGAACAAAUUCUUCGAACUCUCACGAAACUCGUUUACUUUUCGCUCGCUGACGCGCGAAUUUAUAUUCGUACGUGAGAAAAAAUGAAAUUUUUUUAUUAUUGUAGUAAAUACUUAUCCUUAUAUCGUGUACAAAAAAGUGUGCGUGUUUUCGAUAAUUUAUAAAUGAUGGUUUCAUGUCUCCCAUUCUCCCAGCCUACGCAAUCAUAUCUUACAAUUAGAAGAAAGUAACGCAUUUUAUAAUGACGGGAACGAUUUGAAGGAUGUGAGAAAGUGGUCAUUAUUUUAAAAUACUUAUCUUUGUAUUGUGUAUAAGUUUCGAUAAUUUAUAAACGA